CCCCAGCCCUGAUAGUAAUGGUUACCCCGCAGCAUGGGUUGGAGAGUGGGUGGGCCUGAGCGUGGGCGUAUGAAUGGAUAGCAGGAAAUAGC
RNAcentral lists this small RNA (92 nucleotides) under Chryseobacterium aquifrigidense. Its description in RNAcentral is "Flavo-1 RNA". Lineage: Bacteria; Pseudomonadati; Bacteroidota; Flavobacteriia; Flavobacteriales; Weeksellaceae. The record is from RNAcentral.